Molecule: non-coding RNA, 125 nt
Filed under: Dufourea novaeangliae
Lineage: Eukaryota; Metazoa; Arthropoda; Insecta; Hymenoptera; Halictidae
Description: U4atac minor spliceosomal RNA
Rfam family: U4atac minor spliceosomal RNA
About the family: U4atac is an essential component of the minor U12-type spliceosome complex which is required for removal of the rarer class of eukaryotic introns (AT-AC, U12-type). These interacting stem loops have been shown to be required for in vivo splicing. U4atac also contains an 3' Sm protein binding site which has been shown to be essential for splicing activity.
Source: Rfam by way of RNAcentral
UCCAUCCUUGUCUAUGGGGAGCAAAGUGUUCAGUGAUCGGCUAGUGAGAAUGCUGUUGCUGAAACCCAUUAUUAACUAAACAACUGCAUCCACAUUUUCUUAUGUGUGAUGCAAUUUUUGGAGGC